Non-coding RNA from Amborella trichopoda, 5015 nucleotides. NCBI's taxonomy places the organism in Eukaryota, Viridiplantae, Streptophyta, Magnoliopsida, Amborellales, Amborellaceae. The record is from RefSeq and is a predicted model, not a curated record.
UUUUUGAGCAAUUAUUAGGUUUUUCUCAUCAUUAUAAAAUCGGACAAAAGGUAUAGUGAGAUCUCAAGCUUAAUAACUAUAAUUAUUGGAGUACUCCAUGGGGCUAGUCCCGAAUGAUGUUCCGUCGAGUCUCAGAUCGACCCAAUAGACCUAUGUUCCACAGUCUAAAGCAGGGACACAUAAUUGGCCAUAUCAAAGCCGUUGAGCCAAAACUUCUAAUCGUCCGGCUCUCAAUGGAUUAUAGGUGUACCCCUGUGGGACAUGAUCUAACUCAAUUAUAGGGGUCCUUUCAAAGCAUAUGUGCACUAACUCUUCCAAACUCGAAUAAUGCAUUUGGAAGAGUGGCUUCCCGUACGAAAUGAAAAUGCACAUGCCAUGUAAUGGUCUCGUGUCAGGAUACGGACUUAUGUCCCAUAAGUCUUGACCAUUCCAUACAUGGUGAAUACUCAAUAAGUACUCGUGUUCUAUUUUUUUCGUUUGGAUUCUCCAAGCCCUGGCCGAUUGCAGCUGAACAUGAGGUUAACAUAGAAAAUCCUGACUAGGAGGUGACCCUCACACCUCCUCGAGAAAUUGCUUUCUCAACACAUGAACUCUCUAUGCCUCAUGCGUACUCGGGGUAAAAGAAUCUGGGCUCCAUUUCGCAAGACAUCAAGAUUUCAAUCUCUCAAUCGCUUCCACUGAAUGAGAGAUUAUUGGAAUUUAGGCCUUGAUAGGUCAUAUUUCCAACAGUCCCUACACCCAAUUACUUUGAAAAUUAGACUGUCCAUCUACAUCCACUGUGUUGUUGGUCAUGAUCUUCUGCUGAUAUUAGGUGCCUGUUCCCAGUUACCAUAUGUUCCUUUAACCACCUCUGUUUGGUCCGCUAGAGAACAACAAAGUUGAGCUUGAUCCACACAAGGAUCAUAUCUUGGAAAAAUCAAAUCCCAUGUACAGCCUGCAUUGUCCAGCCUUCAUGGCCAACUAGGUUAAGGUUCUGCUUAGCAUCCAAGUAAUUUUGCUCUGUUUCCUGAUAUUUUCUUUAUGCAGGACAAUCAUAAGUCUUUCUAGCUCAGAUAUGGUUUAGAAGUAUCUACAAUUUCAUAGCAAAUACUUUUGGUUAGAUAGACACCAAAAAGAAGUUCCCCACCUAUUAUUGGUUGAUCAAGAAAUAUGAUGUUGCUUGAGAUUGAAGACAAAUACUUGCAUGGCUUCAUAGAUUAAAAAUGUAUAGGAGUCCACGAUGCAGACACCCUGGCCAAAGCAGCAGCUACCGGUGAAGGACUUCUUUGAUUUUGAAUGGCUCUCUUCGUGAAGGACUACUUGUAUUUUCGGAUGGGUUUCGUUUUGUUGGUUGCCUUGUUCUCAAUGUAACCCUUUAAAAGAUGGCCUUUUAAUUCUGUCUCCUCUCCUCCCUCGUCUCUCUCUCUCUCCCCCCUAUACCUCUGCAAGCUUCCUGUGACUAGGUGCUACUAUCUUAUCUUGUUGGGACCCUUUACUCUCUAUAAAAGUUAACAUUCUAAAAAAAAAAUGAAUAAAAGUUUGGCUGAUGUUGGGUGUUGUGUGUAGUACCCAGAUCUAUAAGUACCAUUAUAGUGUUCCAACUAGUUCGUUGAGCUUAUGUUAUGGGUCACAUUCUGGGAUCUCCCAACAUAGGUGGUGAUCCUGCUUCGGAAUUUCGCUCUGGCCCUCUAGGAAAGGGAUCUCGACUUUUAAAGUUUGGGAUUUUGAUUCCCACUAUUAGGGAUCCUGAUUCCUACUGGUAGGGAUCUCGAUCUCAACCUUAAAGACCAAGACAACAAUUAAACUGAUGAUUUUCUUUAUUUAUAGCCAGCUAGCAACACAAUUAUAGUUUUAAUAUAGUUCCAUUGCUUAUUUAUUAUAAAUAAAGAGACCUUUAAAUAAUAUAUACAGUCCUAGGAUAUACAUACUCUUUAAGGUUGGGAGCAAGUUCCCCAAAAAGGUUGGGAUCAUGAUUCUAAAAGGUCGGGAUCAAGAUCCCGAAAGUGUUGGGAUCUCAAUCCUUAACAUAUGCAUUAUACGAACAUCACUCCUAACCAUAGAGAUCUUGUAGUAUUUCACGAUCCCCCAAUCCUGGUUCUGAUCCUAACAAUUAUGUUAUGGGCAUUUAUUAGAUGGAAAAGUAUAGCCUCCACAUCAUGUAAACACUUGAAUGGUGCACAAGCACCCUUUCAAUGGUUUAGAUUGAAUCUGGGCUAACCUAAGGGCCAUAAAUUGAUUUUGUCUUUUAUUUUUUAUUUUGUUCUAGACUUUAUUCACAUGAAAUUGGGAUGUACAUGCAUCUUCACGAGACCAUACUCAAUAAAAGUGAAAGAAAUAAUUCAACAUAAUUGACCAAAAUACCCUGAAACAUUCAUAGUUAUUUUGUGUCAAUUUUUUACUUUUUUUUUUUUGUGUUUUUAUUUGGUACGCCCUUGUUUGAUGCAUGGACGUCCCAAUUUUCAUGUGGAUAAAAUUUUGUAUAAAAAAAAACGAUUUUGCCUCUUGUUAGGCCCAGAUUCAAUCUGAACUUUUGAAGGGUGCUUGAGCACCCUUCAACCGUCCACAAGAUGUGAAUGCUGCAUGAUCCCUUACUAGAUUUUAUGCCAUUCCAACAACAAUUUCUAUCAUGAGCUAAGAGUGUCAUACGUUCAUGAGAAGAUAUCAAGCAAUUGUAUUUUGGUACUACAAAUCAAUUCUAGCUGUUGGCAAUUUUCAUGCCGUUAGAAAUCCAAUGAAAAGGAAAAAGCAGUAUCCAUGUCAAUGGAUCAUUCAAUGAAAUGGUAUCAGAUAGUAGGCAUCUUGCAAUUUUGUUCUUGAAAGUUUACUUGGUUAAAAAAAGGGGAAUCUUGGGUAAGAGGUUCUGGUCUUAGAUUUGAUAGAACCUUUGCCAUUCAAGAAUGGGUUAAUGUGAUGAAGAUGCCAAAAUUUAUCAUCUGGCUCAAAUUAGCACUAUUUAAUUGAGCUGUUUAUUUUUCUUUAUCCAUUAACAUCUAAUUCAAUGCUGUGUCAUACAUUUGAAUUUGAAGCAUAAAAGAUGUCUACUGCCGAAAACACUUUCUCAGAAGAUGGUAGUGGUGGGUGAUAAAUUGAACCUUUUAUCGAGAAAAGGUGAACAGGGAAACUUUCAAGGAUAUGAAGAUGCGAUUCAUGACAUUUGUUUCAGUUGUACAUGGCUUGAUCAUGCUGGAUUAGAGAUUUGAUAGCUGCACAAGUUCCUCGAGUCCUAAGUUGCACAGUGGACAGCAGGUUUGACUCAAAGGUUGGAUUGACUGAUGGAUCCAUCGAGUUGCAAACCUUGAAGGCAUCUUUGGUGAGUAUGAGUUGCAUGAGAUUUGCACCAACUGCCCCACAAUUCAUGGAUAUUUUCUAGAGACUUCAUAAGACAAUCCGUUUGUAGGUGUCUUUUUGGGUUGCAAGACUGAAUGACUACUUGUUGACAUAAUUGGUAAGCCUAUGUAUGACAAGGAUCCAAGUGAAGAACAUGAUCACUACUUGUUGAGAUAAUUGGUGAGCCUUUGUAUGAUAAGUAUUCAGAUGAAUAACAUGUGAUCAAAGAGGUAUAUGAUGAAAAUCUUAUUUUUUAAUUUUGAACAGGAUUUUAAAGACAUCUUAUCUGAAGAUGAUUGCUAUCCUCUUGAUCAUUUUUGCAAACAAAACACAUAUUAACUAAAAUCUUCCCUCUCUUCCUCAACUUAUCCACCAUCUAUCCAUCGAUAAUCUCCAAAGGAAAUCCUGCACCUUAUCUAAUAUCGCCCAUUUCCAAAUCUCUGCCAAUUCUGGUCUUAACCCCCUGUACCUAUCAACUGACAACUAAUGAUACAAUGAUUUCAUUGUGAAGAGAUCUAAUCAAUAACAAGGUAUGACACUCUGUUAUAUCGACCUCUAAGAUUCCAUGAAGUCUGAAAGUCCCCACCCUAAACAUCUCUAACCACAAAACUUGAUUCUCCAUGAAUCUGAACAGAUAUGGGAAUCUGAAUCUCAAGGCCUGAUCUCCUAACCAUUCAUGGUAUAAAAAAAGAAUACUCUCACCACACCCAAGAAUGUACCUAACAUUCCUCAAGAACAGCAACCACAAUGAAGAUCCCUUUCCAAAUAAAGGAACUCUUAUUUAUACAUCUCCCAUCCCCAAUAAGAGAUGAAGAUCUAUCAACGCCAAAUUUCGCUUGCAAAACUUGCUUUCACAAUUGAUUGUUCCCUUGAGUGCAUCUCUAUAUGAUUUACGGUUCAAUCUUUAAGAUAUUUUUCAAGCUCAUCAUCAUCUAAGCCUUAUCCCAAUUAUUUGGGUUCAGCUACAUGAAUCAUGUUUCUUCAUACUUCUCUAUAAUGGGCCAUACUCUAAGUAAAAGCAAAAAUAACCAUAUCUUUUCUCACUACUUUAUUCAUGUCCUUUUGGGCCUUUCUCUUGCUCUUUUGGAGACUUUCACUUGAAUCAAAUCGCAUCUCCUUAAUGGUGUUGUAUAAUCUUAGAGAUAUUGUUAAUAUGGGUAAACCAAAAAGAAAGAUUGUGGGGGGUGGAAAGCUCCAAUUCACAGGUUAGUGAAACUGAAUUUUGAUGGUAGCUCGGUUUGCAAUCCUGGACCUCCGGGUGUUGGUGGAUUGAUAAGGGAUCACAUGGUUUUGAUCUUGCCAGUUAUUCAGGACCGUUUGGGGAGGUUUCGGCGAAUGAGGUGGAAUUGAGAUCUCUUUAACAAGCCUUCAUGCUAUCAUCGAUAAUGGCCUGGGGAAUAUUGUGGAGAUCAAGGGUGGCUAUGAAUUUUGUCAGCUGGUGUUGAGCUGAAUGGAAUGUUCCUUAGACUCUGAGAUCUAUUUUUUUUUACUACUGUGAGAGGAUUAACACUUCUUUUUCAUAUGUUUAUUGGGAAUUAAAUAUGGAGGUUGAUGAUUUAGCCAAACAAGGAGUCGGAAAGGUGGAGGUGCUUGUGCAUAUUUCUUGAUUUCUUUGUAUUUGUUUUGCGAGUUCGUUGUAGUUAUGUUGUUAUAAUUAUGUUUACUGAUUAACAAAAAUUUUGGAAUGACUAUGACAAGAAAAAGAACCA